Sinocyclocheilus grahami is the source of this 375-nucleotide long non-coding RNA. RefSeq lists it as uncharacterized. Lineage: Eukaryota; Metazoa; Chordata; Actinopteri; Cypriniformes; Cyprinidae. The transcript has 3 exons. The record is from RefSeq and is a predicted model, not a curated record.
UUUCUGUCCUUCAGCUGUCUGUACCAAGUUCUCUGAACCUGCUGCCUGGUCAGAUUCACAUGAUGAAGGAAAUGAUAGAGAAAGAGAAAAUAAGGCAGCGGCUUCUUUCAUCUCCUCCUCCAUCCUCGGCUUCUGACAAUUAUGUUACUGUACAGUCAGACAUGCCUUCGUGUUAUCGUAAUGUCACUCGUGUCGAAGCUGAAUACUUGUUGGAUAGAAACACUGAUCGGGGAAACUUACUGCUGCGGCCGGGUCAUGAUGGGACGUCUUUUGCCCUCACUACACGCCAAGAUAUUAACGGACCAGUAUUCAAACAUUAUCGUGUGUCUCGGAGUCAUGGAGGAGGAUUCGCCAUUGCCGUUGAGACUCCUGUAA